GGGGCGGUGGCGUAGUUGGGAGCGCGUCAGACUGAAGUCAAAACUUCAAUCACCCGUUAAUCUGAAGGUCACCGGUUCGAUCCCGGUCCACCCCA
RNAcentral lists this transfer RNA (95 nucleotides) under Fusarium solani. It matches the Rfam family "tRNA". From Rfam's summary of the family: Transfer RNA (tRNA) molecules are approximately 80 nucleotides in length. Their secondary structure includes four short double-helical elements and three loops (D, anti-codon, and T loops). The record is from Rfam by way of RNAcentral. RNAcentral also lists the same sequence under 6 other names. Lineage: Eukaryota; Fungi; Ascomycota; Sordariomycetes; Hypocreales; Nectriaceae.